AACGAACGCUGGCGGCGCGCCUAACACAUGCAAGUCGAACGAGAGACUCUUCGGAGUAGUAAAGUGGCAAACGGGUGAGGAAUACAUGGGUAACCUACCCUUGAGAAGGGAAUAACCCGCCGAAAGGUGAGCUAAUACCCUAUACGCUACCUUCCCCAUGGGGGCGGUAGGAAAGCUAAGCCGUGGGCUUGGCACUCAAGGACGGGCUCAUGUCCUAUCAGCUUGUUGGUAGGGUAACGGCCUACCAAGGCAACGACGGGUAGCUGGUCUGAGAGGAUGAUCAGCCACACUGGCACUGAGACACGGGCCAGACUCCUACGGGAGGCAGCAGUGAGGAAUAUUGCGCAAUGGGCGAAAGCCUGACGCAGCGACGCCGCGUGGGGGAUGAAGGUUCUCGGAUUGUAAACCCCUUUCGUGAGGAAAGAGAAAGUGGGCAACCACUUAGACGGUACCUCAAGAAGAAGCCACGGCUAACUUCGUG
RNAcentral lists this ribosomal RNA (481 nucleotides) under uncultured bacterium. RNAcentral's name for it is "bacterial SSU rRNA". It matches the Rfam family "Bacterial small subunit ribosomal RNA", at positions 29 to 507 of the family's 1533-position model. The record is from RNAcentral.